RNAcentral lists this ribosomal RNA (253 nucleotides) under uncultured bacterium. Its description in RNAcentral is "partial 16S ribosomal RNA". It matches the Rfam family "Bacterial small subunit ribosomal RNA", at positions 524 to 776 of the family's 1533-position model. The record is from RNAcentral.
UACAGAGGUCUCAAGCGUUGUUCGGAUUCAUUGGGCGUAAAGGGUGUGCAGGUGGCGCGCUAAGUCGGGUGUGAAAUUUCGGAGCUUAACUCCGAAACUGCAUUCGAUACUGCCGUGCUUGAGGACUGGAGAGGAGACUGGAAUUUACGGUGUAGCAGUGAAAUGCGUAGAGAUCAUGAGGAAGACCAGUGGCGAAGGCGGGUCUCUGGGCCGUAACUGACGCUGAGGAGCGAAAGCGUGGGGAGCGAACAGG